CAUUGGUUAGCAGACCAACAGGGAUUGCCUUAGUAACGGCGAGUGAAGCGGCAACAGCUCAAAUUUGAAAUCUGGCCCUUGGGUCCGAAUUGUAAUUUGUAGAGGAUGAUUUUGGUGCGGUAUCUUCCGAGUUCCUUGGAACAGGACGCCUUAGAGGGUGAGAGCCCCGUACGGUUGAAUGCCUAGCCUCUGUAAAUCUCCUUCGACGAGUCGAGUAGUUUGGGAAUGCUGCUCUAAAUGGGAGGUAAAUUUCUUCUAAAGCUAAAUAUUGGCCAGAGACCGAUAGCGCACAAGUAGAGUGAUCGAAAGAUGAAAAGCACUUUGAAAAGAGGGUUAAAUAGCACGUGAAAUUGUUGAAAGGGAAGGAUUUGUGACCAGACUUUUUCUGGGCGGAUCAUCCGGGGUUCUCUCCGGUGCACUUCGCCCAGUAAAGGCCAGCAUCGGUUUUCGGCGUGGGAUAAAAGCAGUAGGAAUGUGGCUCUCUACGGGGAGUGUUAUAGCCUAUUGUAUAAUACCGCGCUGGGGACCGAGGUUCGCGCUUCUGCAAGGAUGCUGGCGUAAUGGUUAUCAAUCACCCGUCUUGAAACACGGACCAAGGAGUCGAACAUUUGUGCGAGUGUUUGGGUGUUAAACCCUCACGCGUAAUGAAAGUGAACGGAGGUGAGAGCCCUUACGGGUGCAUCAUCGACCGAUCCUGAAGUUUUCGGAUGGAUUUGAGUAAGAGCAUAACUGUUCGGACCCGAAAGAUGGUGAACUAUGCGUGGAUAGGGUGAAGCCAGAGGAAACUCUGGUGGAGGCUCGCAGCGGUUCUGACGUGCAAAUCGAUCGUCAGAUCUGCGCAUGGGGGCGAAAGACUAAUCGAACCAUCUAGUAGCUGGUUACCGC
This 885-nucleotide ribosomal RNA is filed under the name Neopestalotiopsis cubana. RNAcentral's name for it is "partial 28S ribosomal RNA". It matches the Rfam family "Eukaryotic large subunit ribosomal RNA", at positions 51 to 961 of the family's 3401-position model. The record is from RNAcentral. Lineage: Eukaryota; Fungi; Ascomycota; Sordariomycetes; Amphisphaeriales; Sporocadaceae.